GUGCCAGCCGCCGCGGUAAUACCGGCAGCUCGAGUGAUGACCGAUUUUAUUGGGCCUAAAGCGUUCGUAGCCGGCCGGGCAAGUUCGUCGGGAAAUCUACCAGCUCAACUGGUAGGCGUCCGGCGAAAACUGUUUGGCUUGGGACAGGAAGACCCGAGGGGUACGUCCGGGGUAGGAGUGAAAUCCUGUAAUCCUGGACGGACCACCGAUGGCGAAAGCACCUCGGGAGGACUGAUCCGACGGUCAGGAACGAAAGCUGGGGUCUCGAACCGGAUUAGAUACCCGUGUAGUCC
This 293-nucleotide ribosomal RNA is filed under the name uncultured bacterium. Its description in RNAcentral is "partial 16S ribosomal RNA". It matches the Rfam family "Archaeal small subunit ribosomal RNA", at positions 455 to 747 of the family's 1478-position model. The record is from RNAcentral.